RNAcentral lists this ribosomal RNA (224 nucleotides) under uncultured Leptolinea sp. RNAcentral's name for it is "partial 16S ribosomal RNA". It matches the Rfam family "Bacterial small subunit ribosomal RNA", at positions 1159 to 1382 of the family's 1533-position model. Lineage: Bacteria; Bacillati; Chloroflexota; Anaerolineae; Anaerolineales; Anaerolineaceae. The record is from RNAcentral.
AAAGCCGGAGGAAGUGGGGAUGAUGUCAAGUCAGCAUGGCCUUUAUAUCCUGGGCUACACACACGCUACAAUGGCCAACGACAAUAGGUUGCUAAGCCGCGAGGUGGCGCCAAUCCAUAAAGUUGGUCUCAGUUCAGAUUGUAGGCUGCAACCCGCCUGCAUGAAGAUGGAGUUGCUAGUAAACGCAGGUCAGCCAUACUGCGUUGAAUACGUUCCCGGGGCUU